This 497-nucleotide ribosomal RNA is filed under the name uncultured bacterium. RNAcentral describes it as "partial 16S ribosomal RNA". It matches the Rfam family "Bacterial small subunit ribosomal RNA", at positions 28 to 507 of the family's 1533-position model. The record is from RNAcentral.
GAUGAACGCUGGCGGCGUGCCUAAUACAUGCAAGUCGAGCGAAUAGACGAGGAGCUUGCUCCUCUGACGUUAGCGGCGGACGGGUGAGUAACACGUGGAUAACCUACCUAUAAGACUGGGAUAACUUCGGGAAACCGGAGCUAAUACCGGAUAAUAUAUUGAACCGCAUGGUUCAAUAGUGAAAGACGGUUUUGCUGUCACUUAUAGAUGGAUCCGCGCCGCAUUAGCUAGUUGGUAAGGUAACGGCUUACCAAGGCAACGAUGCGUAGCCGACCUGAGAGGGUGAUCGGCCACACUGGAACUGAGACACGGUCCAGACUCCUACGGGAGGCAGCUGUAGGGAAUCUUCCGCAAUGGGCGAAAGCCUGACGGAGCAACGCCGCGUGAGUGAUGAAGGUCUUCGGAUCGUAAAACUCUGUUAUUAGGGAAGAACAAAUGUGUAAGUAACUAUGCACGUCUUGACGGUACCUAAUCAGAAAGCCACGGCUAACUACGUG